Long non-coding RNA from Phyllopteryx taeniolatus (common seadragon), 3098 nucleotides. RefSeq lists it as uncharacterized. The record is from RefSeq and is a predicted model, not a curated record. The transcript is spliced from 3 exons. NCBI's taxonomy places the organism in Eukaryota, Metazoa, Chordata, Actinopteri, Syngnathiformes, Syngnathidae.
CACAAAUGCCAGGACAACACCGUCUUCCGGCCGACGAGCGUGUCUCUCAAGCGGCUACUCUUCAAAUCACAGCCGCCCCCCACCCCCUGCUCGUCUCCGGAUGAUGCGAGCCCCUCCGCGACUCUCAAGUUGUUUUGAAAGUGAAGUCAGGCUAGUGGGGCGUCACACCACGGCAUCCUGCGGCUGUGCGACCAGGUGGAUGCUUUGCUGAACUAACAAGGCAGCGCGAAGUGUGCGCUUGUUCUCGCUGGGUGGCUGCCUGAAAUGUCAGCGACGGAGGGACAGAUAGGUGCUAGAGUCUAAACAUAACCUGCUGUAAAUCACACACACACACACACACGUAGGUGAGACAAUAUGUGCGUGUGUGCGUGGCUGUUGGCGGGUGGGUUGUGGCCUUGUCUAUAUCUGUGUGUGUGUGUUUGUGUGUGAAUUGUGACGGGGCAGCAUGGUAAUGGCUGGUCAGCUGGUAUGGCGAGUAUUCAGGGCGGGGGCUGUGCAUUGUCCUCUCAUGGCUCCCCAACAAUGCCCCUCUGAGCAGCUCGCCACACAUCUACCAGUCACGGGCCUCUCUCUCACCCAUUCUCUCUCUGCUGCUUUGCUUUCCGUCUGCCAUAUUUAUUCAGCCGGGGCGAGGCGUAAAGUGAGACGUGAGGGUUGUUGUGAGAGCCGUGAUGCCCCUGACCAUUUGGGCGAAGGUCAAGCAGCGAGACCCCCUGCCGUCUCCACCCCCACCCCCCAACUCACCAUGCUCCAAAUCAAACCACGUCAUUCACGCUGGAGCUGCCAAGACACAUACAUACCUCCAUACAAACGUCAUCACAUGAUGCACGCGUUGAAUAAUUUAUAGAGCCUAAUCAGUUCUGAAAGGCUGUUUUUCAAAAAUAAUGUGCUCCCGUCGUGCAUAUGUACACAUAACUGAUGGCAUUUUAUGAUAAAGUGACAAAAGAUUGAUUGUCGGUCUAAUGUUUAAGUCAUAGGAACGUCAACGUUUGAGUGUGUUAUAAAUCAAAGAGCCACGGAAUCCUGUCAGACACACUCCAAAUGUUUAAAAAGUCAACAAGGCAACAACAUUUGUAUUUUUGUCACAUUUCACUUACUCCAAAACUUUUGUCCAACUAAUGAAAAACAUGUACAUCCAAAUAUUGUUAGUUUUAUGUUGGACUAAGAUAAAUAUUUUAGAUAAAAAGGGUGUUAAAAAAACCCUCUGGCAAUACGUCUGUUUUUCUUUCACUAUUCACUUCCCGGAAGUGUCUGUAUUAAACAUGUAUCCAACUUUCAUGACUAUAUGUCUGAAUAAACUAUUUCUGAUGAAAAUGGCAAAAAAAAAACAAAAAAAAACCUCUUCACUUUCUGCUUGUGGAAUUGGUCCCAAAACUUUUGUCUUGUAUGAAAAAGGCGUAUCUACAAAUUUUGUGAGUUUCAUAUCAGAAUAACAUCAAUAUUUUGGAUAAAAAGGGCAACAAAAAAUAACCAGGUCUAUUUCUUUCACUUUUCAAUUCAUGUGUGUGGAAUUUGUCCCAAAACUCUUUCCCAUAUCCAAUGGAAAACAUGUACAGUUCCUACAAACUUUGUGAGUUUUACUGUAUAUCCGAAUAUCAAAUAUUUCAGAUUAAAAGGGGAAAAAAACUAAACAAAACCAAAGAAAAAACACAGUUUUUUUCUAUAAUAAUAACAAUAACAAAUAAUUACUGAUAUUUCUGAUACAAUUACAAAAUAUUAAUUGUCUGUUCAAUGUUUAAGUCACUGGAAUGCCCAAAUGUAUUCGUGUGCGAAAUAUGGCGUCUUCACUUUUCCACAUCGUGUUCAUCAGUGAAGGCUUGUGAAAAGACGCCUUCUUGUGGACGAUGGGCACAACUAUGUCUGGUCAAGAUCUAAAAAGUCACAAAGAUGAAGAAAAUACGGAGAAAGUGAGUCUUCUAAAAUCUCCAAAAGGCAAAUUGUUGCAGAUGAUUUGUUAAAUGAAUAGAAUUUUAACAAAGCGCUGGGGGGCGAAAGGUCUCAGGGCAUUACCUCCUCUAAUCUGCAGGGGGCGACAGAGCAACAAGGUGAUAGCAGCAGCUUCCUCUGAUUGGAAAUUAAAGUACUGUAUUAGACAGUUAACAUUUUGGUUAUUAUGUAUUUAACAUACGAAAUGUUUUAUUUUAAUUUGUAUUUAACAUAAUGUAUUCAGUAAUUCACGUCAAUAAGAAUUUUGCCUUCUAGACAUACAGACCGACAGAUAGAUAGAUAGAUGGCAGCAUGAAUUCAACUCCUCUCCUUGUUUUUUGUCUUUGUCUGCUUUCCUCCUCUGACUCUUACGUGUACGUGACGUAUAAGUGCUCACGGUAGGACAUCAGCCGCUCACCUGGCUGAGGGAGCUCAGGCUAAUCUCCAAUCCGAUUAGGCUCCUUAUCUACUCAGCGCUGCUUUUAUGUUCUUUGGAGCCAACUGAAAUAACGUACAAAGAAGAGACGGCCUCUUUCACCCUCACUGCAUCAGGGAACGGGAAUGAACUUCAACUACAGUGAUUAAAGUCCAGAUAAAUGCCUCGAAACGAUGACUGAAUCAAUCAGGGAAAGCUUGAAGAUUGCCCUUUUCUAUACAUUAAGGUGUGCUUGGAUGGGUUUGGUGCGGAGGAACCCACAUUAGACAGCCAGAGAAUCCUGACAGACAUUCUCCAAACAUCUUCUAGAAAGUCUGGAAGCUGUCGUAGCUGCAAACCUUGAUGACAGUUAUUUUCGUGAAAUGUAUCAUAUUUAUCCUCAAAAGUUUGUAUGUAGUCUUGUGAAAAAUAUACUGUACAUUGAAGUUUUAUCUACGAAUAACAAUUAUUUUGGAUGAAGAGGGGGAAAAACAACUGUGGAUGUAAGUCUGUGCCGGUAUUUCCUUUACUUUCACUGUUCACUUGUUCACAUGAAAAAUAUACAUAUCUACACAUUUCGUGACUUUUAUAUCUGAUUAAGAAAUAGUAAAUAAUAAAAAAAGAAACCUGGGAAAUUCUUUUGGGUGGAAAUUUUCCCAAAACUUUUAUCCAUAUGAAAAUAAUGCAUCUACAAAUUUAGUGACUUUUAUAUUCAAAUAACCUAAUAAAGAUGAUGGGCAAAAAAAAUUGUCUGUGU